Aegilops tauschii subsp. strangulata is the source of this 3624-nucleotide long non-coding RNA. RefSeq lists it as uncharacterized. NCBI's taxonomy places the organism in Eukaryota, Viridiplantae, Streptophyta, Magnoliopsida, Poales, Poaceae. The record is from RefSeq and is a predicted model, not a curated record.
UCAAACACACAUAAGAAUAUAGAGUAAUAUCUCCUGCAGUAGCAUAGAGAGCCAAAAAUUCAGCAGCUGGACAUAUUGGGAUAAUGUGCUUUCUGUUUGUUAGGAAGUCCACGUGUUCUGCCAUCCUGUUAAAUAGUAUUAAUCUAACAAAAUUAAUCAAGGAAAAAUAUGUGCGCCUGGCACAAACCCACCAUGCCUAUGUGUUAUAUCCAGUCUCACGAACAUGACACGGUUAGAUAAGCUACCAUGAAUAACCAAGGAACAUAUGCCCUUACCCCUUAGUGUCCAUUGGUGGUAAUUAUCACUUAGCUAACUAUUUGAGGGAACAACGAUGCAAUGCCCCUCAACUAAAAUGUUGCAACACAAACAGAAUAGCCACAUAUAGGUAAAAAAAGAAUGUUGCAACACAAACAUGGUCACAUAGGUCAGGAAAGUAUUACCUACUCGGUUACUCCAUUCCAAAAUACAAACAGAAUAGCAUAAUAGCCCCUACACAAUUGUAAGAACUUAAAAGGAAGUAUGCAUAUCUCUGUUAUGAUCCUAAAAAAAUUUACACUUAUGUUUUAAUCCCAAAAUAAGCUAAUAAUAAUAAUAAAAGUCAGUAUCGCCAGUUGAUAAAAGUCGAGAGAAUUCCUUAUUUGACCCUUUCUUAAAAUUUGCUUCCCUAUUUGGCCCUCCACAAAAUGUUCUUCCCUUUUUGACACUAUUUACAAUUUUCCCCUAUACUACAUUUCCGUCAAAUCUGGUACAAUUCCGUCUAUUUGACCUGUCAGUAUUUUCUUCCAUGGACCAAUCUGCCCCUGUACGCUAAACACCAGAGAGGAAAAAAGGGGGAGAGAUGGAUCACGAUAGAACUUGCUCUCGCACAUAGCGGCGGCGGCGCAAGGCUGCGGAUGGUGGCAAAGUGGAAGGGGAAAAUGCGUCUGCAGAGGCCGCAAACCAAGGAUGGUAGCUGCCGAAGGCCUUGGUGCGGCUCGGCCAUCGGCGAACACCACCGCAGAGGGGUCAGCCCACGGCACUGGGGCGAGCACAGCCACGGCGCGGCUGCGCCGGCUCCAGUGGUGCCACAAGGUGUGAACAGCUUCUCCUGUCUUCUAGGAUCGUCCUCUCCUGUCGCAGCUGGCUGUCCAUGCAAAGCUCCACUUCGAGGAAAAGAACCAACACAAAUUCUUCGGCACGACCAAUAACUCGUUGAUGUUCCAAAAAAAUAACAGAGACAGCCUUUCUCAUGAUCCUUUCCUUAAUCGCCACCUAGACUAACUCAAAAUACAUCUCACUAGACCAGGCGUGCUCCUGAAGCUGCUGGAAGGAAUGAAGACGGGCGUGGCGAAGCCGGUGGGUGAGCACCGGACAGUGCUGCUGCAGGUGACGGACAUUGUCCCAGUGGACAUGGACGAGGUGGACCUGUUCCCGUGCCACGACCGGAGAGGAGGCUAAUGUCAAGAUGAGACGACCGGCGGCGGCGACUGCCUCAGUCCAGGCAAACGCGUGGUCUCCGGCUGCGUGUGGCUGGCUGGCGGCGUUCCCCUGGUCCUCCGCUACCGGCUGUGUGCAUGGUCUCCGGCUGGUCGUGGCCAGCAGGAAGCAUUCUCGUCUGCCGACCGUGCGCUUGGUCUACGACUAAAUAUGUGUACUAGUUCCGACCGUGGGCUAUUUAGAGGAUUUAAUAGUGCGUAAUACUUUUGGAACGUGAUGAACAAACCAAUAUGGUACUGAUCUUAGAUAUGGUAGUACAUGUUUUACAGACGUUUCCUAAGGCUUUUAUACGCACAGAUAAGUUCAGCUAAGGACCAAAUUAUUGGAGUGCAACAUUCAUGAACAUCUGUAGAACAUCGGUGAACUGAUUGCUUCUUUUUUUUUGUGUGGAACUGAUUGCUUGUUUACUUAGAUAUCCAGUAUAGCCGCACAAUGCGCUAGGGGCAAAAAAGGUCUUCUCAUCUCACACUUUAACAUCGUUACUCCUAAAUGGAAGCAAAAGUUACAUUGAGCGUCAAAUAGGGAAGAAAAAUUUAUUUUGGGCUAAAAAAAUAGGGAAGGAGAUUUUAAGGAAGGGCCAAAUAAGGAAUUCUCUGAUAGAAGUCGACAGGACACUAUACCUGGCCAAAUAGGUCUUAUCACUACUAGAAACUACGAGUUUACCACUUUACCUAGAGCUUAUGACUCCCCUCAAGGGCAACAAAAGCUAUGAACAGUAAGCUCUAGGAAAAGAUGAUUUUUGGGUGAAAAUAAAUGAGUAAAACUUUACCUACAGUUAUGUUUGGCCCCUAGGUAAUGAAGACCAUGCAGACACCAUGUUGAUUAGAAAAAUAGGAAGGAGGUUCGGUGAUACCACGUGAAAGCUAUUUUUGGUGGGCAACUAUUAUUUUUUUGUCAUUCCCACGCUAGCACCGCGCGUUUUAUUUCGGCCCACGCUGUUGGGCCCACUAGGCAGUGAUAUGGGCCAAAGGAGCUUGGCGCUAGUGAACAAAAAGUUUCACCAAGUCUAGGUCUUCCAUGUCCGGCCAUCUCACUUUCCCCCAACUCUCCAGAUCCAGCGCCGCCGCCCCUCCUUCUCUUCCCCCCUUCCGUCACAAAUCAAGCACCGCCGGUUGUGAUUCCGCUGCAUGCCAACCUCCUUCUCUCUGAAGGUCGCCGCCCCUCGCCCCUACCCCUUCCUCGUGCACCGACAGAUCUUGGCACUGGCACACCAUAGGCACUGCAAGGUGAGCCCAUGCGGCGAUGGGACAAGAGGAAACAUGUGGCUACUCGGUUCCAUGGUGUAUAGGGAGACUGAGCGACGGCAGUGAGCAGGGACUUGGGCUAGCGCCGAUGAGCAGGGAACAACAGCGGCGGCGCCUGCAAGCACCAUCCUCCAUUGACAAGUCUCCCUCUAUUGAAGCUUGGGGAUCUUACGACGACCAAUAUCUGCGGCUAAUGAACAAAUUAUAAAUGACUGCUCUUCGGGGAAGCCCCAUGGAUAAUUGGCUCUCUUCAAUGGGUCUACUACUGUGUUAUUACCGGCAAGACAUCAUUGCACCGUUCUCAUCCAAGAACUUCUUAUUCAAUUUCAUGUUCAUAUUUUGGAAACUAAUCAAGAACCGCCAGCUUUGUGUGUGCAGCAACACUCAGAUGGGCUAUGUGUAGUGUGGGGAGCAAUUAAAUCCUCUUGUCUUAUGUCCAUAUUGUCCAAAUUACAUUCAUUAUGCUGCCUACCAGAAUAUUCAAGUCUUUGAACUACAUGCUAAACUGCCUGCCAUCACUAGUUUUCAGGAUCACAAUCUCACUUGGAUGCUUCUCCCCAAGAUUUGGAGCUUAACGCUGCAAAGAUGUUUUUUAUCCAGUGCAUCUCGAACUUAACUCACUCGCUUGUCCCUCUACGGCAGCCAACCUCUUGAUCCUUGCUUUUCUGGGUCUUGAAGUCUAUCGAGCAUAGAUAACAUGUUGUUGCAAGUUAUUUGCAGUAGCAGAUACUUAGCCUGACCAACAAUGCUUGUACAUGCUGAUUUAGGUAUUCUGCUAGCUGUAGAAAUUUUAGAUGUAGUGUGUUUUUUUAAUUCUGGCUUGAAAUCAACCAUGAGUCCAAUGUAUGUGUCAUUGUAUGUUGAAUUUUGGCUACAAUUUAUAAAUUGGAAUUAUGGCUCGGAA